GGGGUCUUAGCUCAUUAGGAAGAGCGUCUCCCUCGCACGGAGAAGGCACGGGGUUCGAAUCCCCGAGGCUCCA
Molecule: non-coding RNA, 73 nt
Organism: Frankia sp.
Lineage: Bacteria; Bacillati; Actinomycetota; Actinomycetes; Frankiales; Frankiaceae
Source: Rfam